UACGGGGGGGGGUAAGCGUUGUUCGGACUUACUGGGCGUAAAGGGCUCGUAGGCGGCCAACUAAGUCAUACGUGAAAUCCCUCAGCUUAACUGGGGAACUGCGUGUGAUACUGGAUGGCUUGGAUUUGGGAGAGGGAUGCGGAAUUCCAGGUGUAGCGGUGAAAUGCGUAGAUAUCUGGAGGAACACCGGUGGCGAAGGCGGCAUCCUGGACCAAUAUUGACGCUGAGGAGCGAAAGCCAGGGGAGCAAACGGG
Molecule: ribosomal RNA, 254 nt
Filed under: uncultured bacterium
Lineage: Bacteria
Description: partial 16S ribosomal RNA
Rfam family: Bacterial small subunit ribosomal RNA
Source: RNAcentral